This 262-nucleotide long non-coding RNA is filed under the name Homo sapiens (human). RNAcentral's name for it is "HSALNT0351219". The record is from RNAcentral. Lineage: Eukaryota; Metazoa; Chordata; Mammalia; Primates; Hominidae.
CAACCCUUAGUUAGAAGAUGAGGGUAAGAGUCACUGAAGGUAAAUAACUUUCAAGGGCUUCAGAGGUCAUUUAGUCCGGCCAAUAACUGGGAGAGGACCAAAGUGAUUUCCAGCAGGAGUGAUGCAAAAGCUGAAAGGCUUCAUACUACAGGAAGAGGAUAUGGUUAAAGGCACCAGGAUGUCUACAAAACAGAUUUAUUUCCAUCUCAGCAGGAGGCAGCCAUGUUUCUCUAAGUGUUGAUUAAACUGUUCCUCCAUGGUG